This 163-nucleotide small nuclear RNA is filed under the name Pomacea canaliculata. RNAcentral describes it as "U1 spliceosomal RNA". It matches the Rfam family "U1 spliceosomal RNA". From Rfam's summary of the family: U1 is a small nuclear RNA (snRNA) component of the spliceosome (involved in pre-mRNA splicing). Its 5' end forms complementary base pairs with the 5' splice junction, thus defining the 5' donor site of an intron. There are significant differences in sequence and secondary structure between metazoan and yeast U1 snRNAs, the latter being much longer (568 nucleotides as compared to 164 nucleotides in human). Lineage: Eukaryota; Metazoa; Mollusca; Gastropoda; Architaenioglossa; Ampullariidae. The record is from Rfam by way of RNAcentral.
AGAACUGCCCGGAGGUUUCGAUCCACCUUGAUCAGCAAGGUCCUCCCAGGCCGAGGCCUGUCCAUUGCACUGCGGGUGGGUUGACCCCUGCGAUCACCCCAAAUGUGGGUGACUCGAGUGCGUAAUUUAUGCGUAAGGGGGACUGUGCUCGCGCUAUCCCCUU